GUGGGGAAUUUUGGACAAUGGGCGCAAGCCUGAUCCAGCAAUGCCGCGUGCAGGAAGAAGGCCUUCGGGUUGUAAACUGCUUUUGUACGGAACGAAACGGUCCUGGUUAAUACCUGUGGCUAAUGACGGUACCGUAAGAAUAAGCACCGGCUAACUACGAGCCAGCAGCCGCGGUAAUACGUAGGGUGCGAGCGUUAAUCGGAAUUACUGGGCGUAAAGCGUGCGCAGGCGGUGCUGUAAGACAGGCGUGAAAUCCCCGGGCUCAACCUGGGAAGUGAGCUUGUGACUGCAGUGCUGGAGUACGGCAGAGGGGGAUGGAAUUCCGCGUGUAGCAGUGAAAUGUGUAGAUAUGCGGAGGAACACCGAUGGCGAAGGCAGUCCCCUGGGCCUGUACUGACGCUCAUGCACGAAAGCGUGGGGAGCAAACAGGAUUAGAUACCCUUGUAGUCC
Molecule: ribosomal RNA, 450 nt
Filed under: uncultured bacterium
Lineage: Bacteria
Description: bacterial SSU rRNA
Rfam family: Bacterial small subunit ribosomal RNA
Source: RNAcentral